Molecule: long non-coding RNA, 714 nt
Filed under: Camelus dromedarius (Arabian camel)
Lineage: Eukaryota; Metazoa; Chordata; Mammalia; Artiodactyla; Camelidae
Description: lncRNA (ENSCDRG00005020493.1)
Source: RNAcentral
GUCGGUGAAGGGCAGGCCGUGCUCAGCGAGCUGCGCAGCCUGGAGGCGGCGCCCGCGCGGUGCGGGGUGUGAGCGCUUCUCGGUGAGCGGCCCGCGUGCCGCGGGGCGGGGGCGGCGGCGGGGUGCUGCCCUCGGGCAGGCCCGCACCGACUCCCGACUGGCCACCGAUUUGCUGUGUCCUUGGCACAAAUGAGAGAAACGAGAGCUACUUUGGAGUUGUCAGGAGGCUUGAACAAGAUAACGACGCAAAUAGAAGCCUCUGGAACAGAAGCGAAGGUGGGACAGUGAAGCUUCAACAAGAAGACAGCAAACCAGGGAGGGACUGUCACCGGACACUAGAUCUGCUCCAGCCUCCAGAACUGAGAAAGGAGACGACACUGGUUACCCUGCUCUGCCCCGGGUGAGACAUUUCCUGUGCUCUCACAGCUCCCUGUCAACAUCUCCGCCUUGCUGCACAGCUGCAGAGCCAGGCAGCCUCCUGGGUGCUGCCUGCUUCACCUCUGCUCCACUCCCAAACGCCUGGCGUGACACUGGACAUACCGUGGGAACUCAGUGAGUCAUGAAUGAAGGAAAGACAUUCCUAUAUCAUUUCUGGCACAGUAGGAACUUCAUGGCACAAUCUUCUUAUCAAGUGGAAACCUCUUUCUCUCCUUAAGAUGUCGUUUGUAUGUAGUGGUGGGAAAGAGAUUGUAUUUAAAAGCAAGGGAACCAGAC